UAAACGUAAUUUUUUUUAAUGCAUAUUAAGAUUCGAAUGAACUUUGCUUAUUUAUCAAUCCUGGCAUAGUUUAACUAACUCUCAGCAGUUAACUGAUUAGGUUAUAAGAGAUGUCUUAUUUAUUCGAAUGAUUUUAAAUCCGGAGCAUUGACGCCCCUGUAGGCCGAAGAUGUAUUUCAUUUUGAAAGGACGCCAAGCUCGAGUCGAUGGUCCGUCGUUUUAACAUUUCCGGUCUUUUCCUUCUGGUUCGGUGGAAGGAGGCUCCAUGGACUUCAUAAGUUUUCCUGAAUUUGGACCGAAUGUUGUCGACAUGGACUAUAUCUGAUCACUAAUUUACUGGACUAAAACAUCAUCCGUGGAAUCCUUGUGUUCGGUUUGGGAUCAUUUCGUGCACAUUGAAUUUUUUCGGUCUAGUUUAGUUUGACUUGUGUAACAAAGAGCGACGAUCAACAUUACGCGAACCAGAGAUCAAGGGUGAGGUAAAGUCUUUGACAUUUAAAGUACGGUUUAAAACUCACUCACUAACAACUAAAUGCUGUAGUGUUUGCAUCGUUGUUAUUAUCAUCGUAAUCUGGAUUCUGAAUACGGUCCCACGGUUGACGACAAUGGUUAGCUCCUCUGCCACACAACGGCUCAAAUCCCGGCCCUGCCAGUGCUUGCUUGUUCUCCCCGUGGCUGUGUGGGUUUUCUGCGGGCACUCCAAUUUCCUCUAAAAAACUUUUGGGGCUCCAGUUUCCUCUUAAAAACUGACCACCGAGUUAAAAUAUCUAAUCUAUUUGAUGGCAGUAAGUACAUAGAGCAAUUAAUUCAGAUAAUUUUCUCGACAUUCUUGUUUAUUGGUGUGUCGUAAGAUUUUUAAUCGUAAAGUGUUUACCUUUGCUCCCAAAAAUUUUGAAUUUACUGCUCUGUAUUCUUCAGGUCAAAUCAACAUUAUGAGACAGAACUGGAUGGUAAUUUACUCUAAAUAAAUUACUUUAUUGUAAUUCAGUCACUUCUCCUCACUGAAACUUGAGAGCAUGACCCGACAGAACGGCAUGUAUGUUUACAUACAACCGCUAAAAAGAGCGGUAUAGUUAGUGUUAAUGUUUUGUGGCCUGCUUCCAAGCUGAAUCGUAUCGAAGUGCGUGAACAUACCUAGGGCAAGUCUUACACCAGUGCUUCUCAAUUUUUUGUCACGCCCCAACUUUCAAGAAAAAAAACAUUGUGCCACCCCACUCUCCACUGCAACCAUAAAUAUUAUCAGCUGUUUAUAAAAUUAUAUGUACAGCUAGACAGAACAUAGUAUCCUUAUUAACAUUUGAAAGGGGUGUUAAUUAGUGAUGCUUCCCAUAACCGUUGAAUACCCAAAUGUAUUAUGCAACCAUGGUUAUAUAAGUUGUUUUUCACUUACCUGUUUUUCACUCACUUGUUUUUCUGGUCAAGACGUCUUGACCGUUUCACUAUCGUGUUCGCAUGCAUACACUCACUUGUUUUUUCGCAUAUAGGUUGUUUUUCACUCACUUGUUUUUCUGGUCAAGACAUCGUGACCGUUUCACUAUCUUGUUCCCAUGCAUACCAAAGACGAACAUUGUUGUGGGAUGUCUUGACAGUUAUGGCUGCGUAAGAUGUUUCUCAGAGCCUGAAGGACACACUUAGGUGUCAAUAGUAAAUCAGGAAACAAUUGUUGCGGCGCCAGGUGGGACGGGUAGGCCACCUGUCCUUUCUCUCGCACGCAACUGAAAAGUAUAAUAGAGAGAUGCAGAGUACAAACAGGUAGAGUCUGCUGCGGGUUUCGUACGGACGUCCAGCUGGUUGACAAGCGGACCUCUACCAGGGUGAACGGCUCUCCACCUUCUCGGCAUAGCGCAGAAAGUUCGUGGUUCAUGUGAAAAUGUGUUCAAGAACGACAGGAGAGUACAAGAUAGACGUUUACGGGCCAAAAAAGGAGGAGGAGCCAAAAUGUCAACUACUGGACGCUGUGUUCAAUCUGCAGCCUCGAAUUGUCCUACACAGAGCAGGUUGGAUACGAAAGAGGGAGAAAAGGAUCUCUACAGAAUAGAGAUGGGAGCGAUGUGCAGCGAGUAAAGGUGAUGACGUUGACUGGUGCCAGUCACUUCAAAUACUUGCCGUCAACAAUAGAGAGCAAUGGUGAGUGUGGUGAGGAAGUGAAGAAACAGGUCCAAGUGGGGUGGAACAGUUGGCGGAAGGUGUCUGGUGUUCUAUGUGACAGAAGAGCUUCCGGUAGGAUGAAGGGUGAAGAGUGAGGCUACAGGGAGAAGUGAUAGCGAGGGUGGAGGACUUCAAAUAUUUUGGGACAACAAUCCAGAACAAUGGUGAGUGUGGUAAGGAAGUGAAGAAACGGGUCCAAGCAGGUUGGAACAGCUGGCGAAAGGUGUCUGGUGUGUUAUGGGACAGAAGUAUAUCUUCUAGGAUGAAGGCCAAAGUUUAUAAAACAGUGGUGAGGCCGGCCAUGAUGUACAGAUUGGAGACGGUGUCACUGAAGAAACAACAGGAAGCAGAACUUGAGCUUGGUGUGUGCUUGUUGAAGUGGGAGCUGCUGAUUGGACGAUCCUCGACGGGAGUACGCAGAGAUGGAGAACAGCCGGUGCCGAGGAAUUGGAAAUGAUUGGGUCAUCUGCCUCCUUGCCGUUGGUGCCAUGGUCCGACUCUCCUGGGGAAUGACCGAAGGUCAUGUGUGCGAGACAAGCCAGUUCAUCGGGAUGAGACGGAGAAUCUCUGUCAACAUCACCUGUGAUCUUCCCAUGAUGAUAUGUGAGUCCACCACGAACGUGAUACAGGGGAGUAGGGUGACAGUCUCCGCUUCCUCCGUCACAUGUAUGUGGGACAUCACACUAUUAGACAGACCUAGCUCUAAGUGUCGUUCUGAUCAUCGAGGAACGACUUGGACGGCAAUUGCAGAAGAGGAUUUCAUCAUCGGGGAGGUUGGGGAGGAUGGUGGUGUGAGGUGGGGGUAUGUGGUCACGGUCAUUUCUAAAGAAACAAUGAUGCCAAAAAUAACUCAAACACACUUGACUCCCAUUCUUGACACCUGUACACAUCUAGCUCAAGCAGUGGUUGAAACCAAGAUAUACUGGACAAUUCACUUUCCCCCGAUUCCGAUAUGUAAUAGAAUAAAAAGGGCAUGGUAUGAUACUUUGUUGGGGGAACGGGAACCGUAUUGGGAUUGGCAAAUACUGCUGAUAAUGAGGUAACUAGGACCAUGCUGUCCAAUACUGGAGAACACUCUGCCAGGGCCUUGCAUCAAAUAGGGGUUUGGCUUCCUAAAGCUCUGGUGGGACAAAAAGAAAAUGCAGAACUUUGGAAAACAGUGUUUAAUUGGGAUAUCAAAUUAUGGGACGAAGCAGAGAAAGUGCUUCAGAACUUGACAGAACAGAGUAGCUGGACAGUAUGUAGUAUUCAAACUCUACACGCUGCGGCUCAAAAGGAGUCGUUUCUAAGGAUAGUUACGUCGGGAAAUUAUCAAGAGUGGCGGAAGGUUUGGAACAUUUCCGACUCUUUGUGGUUGACAUUACAUCCCGAACAUACCAAAUGUAACAAAAAUAAAUGUACGGGUUAUUGGACCCAGUACAACGUGGCGACAACAAAGGUGGUUUGUAAAUAUCAGGUUUUGCCUGUUAUAACGACAAGUGGAUAUUGGUUUUUACACAUGGACGGAGAGUGGUUUGAACCAAAAACCAACAAAACCUUUAAAUCAGAUUUAUGUGAUUUAACAGACCAAGGGUUGGCUUGCAGAUUACAACAUGCGUACUCGAAUCCGUGCCUAACCGACUCAGAGGUUGUACUUUGUGAUUGGACUAGGGAGCCAGCCAGAGAGAUGAUGUGGCAAGUUGGACCGCAUACUCUCUGUGUGGCUACAACACAAAAUAACUCACAAGUACCUUCGGUUCCUUUUGUAGGAUGCCUUCAAGAUGUACACAUAUGGCGCUGGGGAAACAUGACGUAUCGUUUGACUAACUAUUCGGAGUCCCGCAGGUUGACUGCGGUCCAGUGGGAGGUACUACGCUCCCCCUGGUCAGUGUCUGGAACGAUUCAAAUGCGCAUUGGAGAGUUCUACAGACAUCCAAAAACUCAUCAAGUCACAUGCGUCUAACAUUUCCAGUCUCAUGGUGUCAACUAUGGUAGUAAAAGGGGAAGUAGUGCAUGCCGCUAAAUUAGUACAACAGGCUUCAGCUCAUCAUUGGUGGGACAUCUUCACAGGAAUGUCCUCCACUGCGCGUACUACUUUCUUGCCACCCUUGAUCGUGUUAAUGAUUGUUAUUUGUGUGCUUAUGCUAUGCAAUAUGGGAACUUGCUAUUACGUGCGACGCAUCCGUCUUGAGGUAGAGAAGGAAAUAUAUAAUCGCCUAUAAUCAAUUGCUUACAUUUUGAAUGAUGGAAAAACAUCAAGAGUGGAAUGAAGUAAGAAUAAUUUUAUUGUGUUGUUUUUCCAUAAUUAAAAGAUGUUUCGCAAUAGCUUCGUAUAUGUUUCGCAAUAGCUUUGUAUAACCUAAAAGACGAUCGCAAUAGCUUUGAAUAACCAGCAAUGUCAUAAAAAGAUGUUUUUGUGUUAUAUGAUGUCGUGCAACGCCAUUUGUUGGUAACAAAGAAUAGUGUGGCGUCAGGCGGGAUGAAUUGGCCACUCACCCCUCCUUCCGCACACGCUUAGAGUAUAAAAGGAGAACUUUAGAUACUCUCGGGAGAGUCUGCUGCGGGUUGCGUACGGACGCCCAGCCGGUAUUGAAGCAGCUCUCUACCUGGAGUGUUGGCUCUCCCUCCUAUUGGCGCACGGUAAGAGCUGGAUAUUCUUCUAAGAGCUGAUUGGAUAUUACUUAGCUUCAUACCACGUGAUUUGUGCUUGUGCUUGUGUUACCAUUUCUGUGUGGGACCAAUAAAGUGCCAAUUGUUGGUAGCCAGAAGUGUGUCUUGUCUUCAUUUCUGAGUGCCUAUCUCCGACGAACCUAUUAAAAUU
Molecule: long non-coding RNA, 4948 nt
Organism: Syngnathoides biaculeatus (alligator pipefish)
Lineage: Eukaryota; Metazoa; Chordata; Actinopteri; Syngnathiformes; Syngnathidae
Exons: 4
Source: RefSeq, a predicted model, not a curated record